UACCAGCACCCCGAGUGGUCGGGGCGAUUAUUGGGCCUAAAGCAUCCGUAGCCGGUCUUGCAAGUCUUCCGUUAAAUCCACCUGCUUAACAGAUGGGCUGCGGAAGAUACUACAAGACUAGGAGGCGGGAGAGGCAAGCGGUACUCAGUGGGUAGGGGUAAAAUCCUCUGAUCCAUUGAAGAACACCAGUGGCGAAGGCGGCUUGCCAGAACGCGCUCGACGGUGAGGGAUGAAAGCUGGGGGAGCAAACCGG
This 253-nucleotide ribosomal RNA is filed under the name uncultured bacterium. Its description in RNAcentral is "partial 16S ribosomal RNA". It matches the Rfam family "Archaeal small subunit ribosomal RNA", at positions 474 to 727 of the family's 1478-position model. The record is from RNAcentral.